This 412-nucleotide ribosomal RNA is filed under the name uncultured bacterium. RNAcentral describes it as "bacterial SSU rRNA". It matches the Rfam family "Bacterial small subunit ribosomal RNA", at positions 28 to 440 of the family's 1533-position model. The record is from RNAcentral.
GAUGAACGCUAGCGGCAGGCUUAACACAUGCAAGUCGAGGGGUAGAAGGAGCUUGCUCCUUUGAGACCGGCGCACGGGUGCGUAACGCGUAUGCAAUCUACCUUUUGCAGAGGGAUAGCCCAGAGAAAUUUGGAUUAAUACCUCAUAGUAUGUGAGGAUGGCAUCAUUUUCACAUUAAAGUCACAACGGCAAAAGAUGAGCAUGCGUCCCAUUAGCUAGUUGGUAAGGUAACGGCUUACCAAGGCUACGAUGGGUAGGGGUCCUGAGAGGGAGAUCCCCCACACUGGUACUGAGACACGGACCAGACUCCUACGGGAGGCAGCAGUGAGGAAUAUUGGACAAUGGGCGCAAGCCUGAUCCAGCCAUGCCGCGUGCAGGAUGACGGUCCUAUGGAUUGUAAACUGCUUUUGAC